GGAAGUAAAAGUCGUAACAAGGUUUCCGUAGGUGAACCUGCGGAAGGAUCAUUACUGAUUUAGCGAACCGAGCGUUAGCGAGGUUUUGCGAUCACUUAUAUUUAAACCCCACUCUUUGAACGUAUAAAAUUUUAUGUAUUAAUGAUAAAAAUAAAAGAUCACUUUCAACAACGGAUCUCUUGGCUCUCGCAUCGAUGAAGAACGUAGCGAAGUGCGAUAAGUAAUGUGAAUUGCAGUAUUCCGUGAAUCAUCGAAUCUUUGAACGCAUAUUGCACUUUCUGGUAUUCCGGAAAGUAUGCCUGUUUGAGGGUCAGUUAAAUAAAAAUCGGUGUUGUUGCUGCCUUUCGUGGUGACGCGUCGGAAUUGAGUCAUCUUACCUUCGGUUAAGUGACUUAAAAUUUUGUAUGAUUUUUGAACGUAUUUAAAUUUAUUUGUACGUUUGAGAUAUCGAAUGUUUAUUAGGUUCGGUCAUUCUAAUGACUCGCGCCUAUAGUUUUUCAUUAAAUGACCUCAAAUCAGGUAAGAAUACCCGCUGAACUUAAGCAUAUCAAUAAGCGGAGGA
RNAcentral lists this ribosomal RNA (562 nucleotides) under uncultured Glomus. Its description in RNAcentral is "eukaryotic LSU rRNA". The stretch from base 160 to 313 matches the Rfam family "5.8S ribosomal RNA". Lineage: Eukaryota; Fungi; Glomeromycota; Glomeromycetes; Glomerales; Glomeraceae. The record is from RNAcentral.